Molecule: ribosomal RNA, 460 nt
Filed under: uncultured bacterium
Lineage: Bacteria
Description: partial 16S ribosomal RNA
Rfam family: Bacterial small subunit ribosomal RNA
Source: RNAcentral
CCUACGGGAGGCAGCAGUGAGGAAUAUUGGUCAAUGGACGAGAGUCUGAACCAGCCAAGUAGCGUGAAGGAUGACUGCCCUAUGGGUUGUAAACUUCUUUUAUAAAGGAAUAAAAUGUUCCACGUGUGGGUUUUUGUAUGUACCUUAUGAAUAAGGAUCGGCUAACUCCGUGCCAGCAGCCGCGGUAAUACGGAGGAUCCGAGCGUUAUCCGGAUUUAUUGGGUUUAAAGGGAGCGUAGGUGGAUUGUUAAGUCAGUUGUGAAAGUUUGCGGCUCAACCGUAAAAUUGCAGUUGAAACUGGCAGUCUUGAGUACAGUAGAGGUGGGCGGAAUUCGUGGUGUAGCGGUGAAAUGCUUAGAUAUCACGAAGAACUCCGAUUGCGAAGGCAGCUCACUGGACUGCAACUGACACUGAGGCUCGAAAGUGUGGGUAUCAAACAGGAUUAGAUACCCUUGUAGUC